This 758-nucleotide ribosomal RNA is filed under the name uncultured Neocallimastigales. Its description in RNAcentral is "partial large subunit ribosomal RNA". It matches the Rfam family "Eukaryotic large subunit ribosomal RNA", at positions 24 to 629 of the family's 3401-position model. The record is from RNAcentral. Lineage: Eukaryota; Fungi; Neocallimastigomycota; Neocallimastigomycetes; Neocallimastigales.
UAUCUCUGUAGAGUCUGCAUAUCAAUAAGCGGAGGAAAAGAAACUAACAAGGAUUCCCCUAGUAACGGCGAGUGAAGCGGGAAGAGCUCAAAUUUGAAAUCUUCAAGGUUUGACCUUGACGAAUUGUAGUUUAAAGAAGUGUUUUCGGUUAGAGGAGUAGUAAAAGUUCUUUGGAAUAGGACAUCAUAGAGGGUGAGAAUCCCGUAUUUGACUAUUCUUUCUAGCUUUGUGAUACACUUUCAAAGAGUCGGAUUGUUUGGGAAUGCAGUCCAAAAUGGGUGGUAAAUUUCAUCUAAAGCUAAAUAUUGGCGAGAGACCGAUAGCGAACAAGUACCGUGAGGGAAAGAUGAAAAGAACUUUGAAAAGAGAGUUAAACAGUACGUGAAAUUGUCAAAAGGGAAGCGUUUGACACCAGUGUUGUUUUUCCGAAAAUCAAUUAAAAAUUGAUUCAUGCCAGGUUGUAUUGACCUUAUCAGCUUGCAAUUUGGUUUUGGGUCUCUUUUUGAUGCACUUUUCGGUUAACAAGUCAACAUCAAUUUCCUUUGCUGUAAAAAGGUAAGAGGAAGGUGGCUUCAAUUUCGGUUGAAGUGUUUAUAGCCUUUUAUCUCUGCAGUCGGGGAGAUUGAGGUCUGCAGCGUAGAUCCUUCGGGGCUAGAUACAUUUAUGCUAAGUUAUAGCUUUUCAUAGACAACUUGUUGACUAUGUUUAGUCAUGUAGCUUACUCGUAAGUGCUAUUUUACCUACGCUUAGGAUGUUGA